RNAcentral lists this ribosomal RNA (468 nucleotides) under uncultured bacterium. RNAcentral describes it as "partial 16S ribosomal RNA". It matches the Rfam family "Bacterial small subunit ribosomal RNA", at positions 28 to 507 of the family's 1533-position model. The record is from RNAcentral.
GACGAACGCUGGCGGCGUGCUUAACACAUGCAAGUCGAACGGAAAGGCCCUGCUUUUGUGGGGUGCUCGAGUGGCGCACGGGUGAGUAACACGUGAGUAACCUGCCCUUGACUUUGGGAUAACUUCAGGAAACUGGGGCUAAUACCGGAUAGGAGCUCCUGCUGCAUGGUGGGGGUUGGAAAGUUUCGGCGGUUGGGGAUGGACUCGCGGCUUAUCAGCUUGUUGGUGGGGUAGUGGCUUACCAAGGCUUUGACGGGUAGCCGGCCUGAGAGGGGGACCGGCCACAUGGGGACUGAGAGACGGCCCAGACUCCUACGGGAGGCAGCAGGGGGGAAUAUUGCACAAUGGGCGGAAGCCUGAUGCAGCAACGCCGCGUGCGGGAUGACGGCCUUCGGGUGGUAAACCGCUUUCGCCUGUGACGAAGCGUGAGUGACGGUAAUGGGUAAAGAAGCACCGGCUAACUACGUG